GUAGCAGUAGCCUGGGGCGGCCCUCGCCUCGAGAGAAAGGUCACUGGGGAGCAAGAAACAAGUGCGGUAAUCCGACUUGCGUGGGGCCAGGGACCCCCGCCCCCGGCGCGGCCAAUCGCAGGCAGGGGGAGGGGGCCCCGAGCGAAAAAGGAUGGCAAUUCCCGAAGGUCCGCACAGUCUCGUCGCGCCCUCGGCCGUGAUCUAACCUGGUUCUUCAAACUCGCGUCGUCCCGGAGCCGAACUCGCGGCAGUUAUUCACCAAAGCCCGCGCCGCCCUCCCACCUCUCAGCCCCGACCCGCGGGCGAAGACAGCAGGAAGCUUCCGGGAGGCGGGGCCAGGGGGUGGAAGAAGGGAACGGAAAGAGGUAGUCGCUUCAACGUCGCCGGAUGGAUCGCGAGACAGGCCGGGCGGAAGUGACGUGUCUUGAGGGCGCCGGGCGGCCUGUGAACGUGGCCUCUCUAGCCACGCUUGUGGUGGGGCACUCUCCGUGCUUGAGAAUGGAACCAACCCUUUGGGCAGAAUGCAGAAAAUCACAAGCAAAUGGAGCCAGAUCAACUCAGGUCACUUCUAUCUUCAACCACACUUCAGGAUCUUAGAGAUAGUGAGAGAAGAACAGACCUUUCUAGAACCUUUCAGUCCUUACCAGGUAACCAUAUUCUUCAGCUACUGGUGAGAUCUGUCUUUUCUGAAAGCCCCAGUCAGUCACCUGACACCUUCACAGUAGACUGGACUGGUCCAAAAGGGUAACCACUCUAGAAAAUUAGGAAAUGGACUAGACUGGGGUGGAGCGGGAAGACACGAUUCUCUUAUUGACCACAUUCCUCAUUUCUGACAAGCCACCACCUCUUCACCAUCUAAAUGAAGAGGAAAAAGGAGUAACCCAAGAGAAAUGAGUUUUGCCCUCACUCAAAAAUUGGGAAAACAGCAUUAGAGGUGCUAAAAGAAUUCUUAAUGGUUUUAUCACUUUUCUUUAAAAGUUCUAACUCAUCGCCUCAGCAAUGUUACAAUUUAAGUAAUAUUUUAAUAAUUCUUUUUUUAAAGGGUAAACCACAUUCAGAGAUUUCAAGUGAUUUUUUUUUCCAAAUUACCCAGUGAGUGCUUGUCUUAACCACAAGACCCAGUUUUCUGAAAUCCAGUCCUUCGUUAAAUACACAAUUCGGCCAAAAGGUGGCAGCAGGCCUCACGCCUUCACCCACAGUAACCCUUGGAAAGCUUUGAUUGCAGAAUACUGCUGGAGUAUUUACCCAUCAGUCCUAUCUUCAACUUAACUCUUCGAAAUCUGAACAGCACUCUUCGGGUGGGCUUAAUGUGCCCCUCAAGGACAAAAUUAAGAUUUUUUUUUUUACUGGUUUUUCAAUGCUCCCUGCAGAGCACUUAAGAGUGGUUUAAAUCUCCAUGUACUGAAAUAUUCCACUAACUCUGGGUUGAGUUGUGUGCUAACAGUAAUUCUGUGGUAGUCCGUUAUUUAUCCUUAGUUUUUGACAAGAUGUCUUUCAUCUGGCACGGCAUCACAUAUUAAACAGACACAUGCCGAUCUCCCAGCCCCUGUUCCAGAACUAGUGAAUAUGAAUAUGCAGGUGAUUGAUCUAGCAAUGGAAGUUCUUACUUUCGUGAUUAUCCUCCUUAACUGGGCAUGUUUGAGGAACACUAAUUUAUUUAUAGGAGCUCUUUAUAUAUAGUAUAUAUUAACAUUUAGUAUCUUAAGAAUUGUCCAAUAUUUUCUCCCAGCGUUGUCCAGCAU
Molecule: long non-coding RNA, 1742 nt
Organism: Dasypus novemcinctus (nine-banded armadillo)
Lineage: Eukaryota; Metazoa; Chordata; Mammalia; Cingulata; Dasypodidae
Source: Ensembl